GAAGUGAGAGUUGAGAGUAAAAACAAUCUAGAGCAUUCUGAAAACACACUAAGAAAAGAGUCUAGAGCUUAAAAGAAUAGAGAGAGAGGGACAGACAUUAAGAGAGAGUUGAAGAAGGGUGACAGUUGAAAGAAUAUCAGAAAUAUGGAUAAAAAAAUCUAUCAGUUUUUCUAAGGUCUUCUUUAAUCAGUCUGAGGGUAGUAUUUGAGAGCUUUGAAAGAUCAACUUGAGACUAAUUACAUAUUGAGAGUAGAGACAUAUACAUUGAGUGUAUUGUUCUAUUGGAUUUUGGAUGCAAUUUGUGAGUUUCAAUAGUUGAUCUUGACUUUCCAUCUUGAUUCUAAUUUACUGAAGCUUCUUUUGGGGUCUGUUGGUCCAAAUUUUGAAGUUUAUUAGACUCUUGGAUUGACUCAAGCUUGGUGAAGUCUGUUUGUGCUGGUAUUUUUGAUGUUUGGUUUUUCUUAUAAACUUUCUAGGCUGUGUUUGUGGCUGUUGGAACUUCAAACUUGUUGUUGUGAACUGUUGUUGUAUUGUUGUGUUAUCUGCUGCUGUUGAUCCUCUUCUUCUUCUUCUACUUCUAUCUCCAUUAUCCAGGUACCCUUUCAAAGCAUUGUCAACACAUUAUGUAUUUUGAGUUGGGACCUGAUUAAAUACAAGCCACAUUCAGAAUUUUACUCUACUUGUUUUCGUUUUGCC
RNAcentral lists this long non-coding RNA (696 nucleotides) under Nicotiana benthamiana. RNAcentral describes it as "long non-coding RNA (NBEN_LNC033546)". The record is from RNAcentral. Lineage: Eukaryota; Viridiplantae; Streptophyta; Magnoliopsida; Solanales; Solanaceae.